Molecule: long non-coding RNA, 235 nt
Filed under: Mus spretus (western wild mouse)
Lineage: Eukaryota; Metazoa; Chordata; Mammalia; Rodentia; Muridae
Description: lncRNA (ENSMSPG00010038315.1)
Source: RNAcentral
CCCGCGCCGCCAACGUGCGGUCGGAACCCGCUGGCCUGAGCCCAAAAGAGCUGCGGCCUUUGCCAGUGUGGAGCUGGAGUUUUCAGAUUUUACAGAUGUAUGAUCUCUUACUGGAUUACCAACUCCUGGAAGAUAGGUUGUUUCCUGCUCAGCCUUGUAUUCCUCACUGCCAAAUCCAGAAACUUGUACAAAAGAAGCAGUGUGCUAUGUUAAAGAUGGGAUAAACAUGGAUAGC